UGUAUGGAGACUGUGUGUAUGGAGACUGUGUCUGUAAGUGACUGUGUCUGUAUGGAGACUGUCUGUGUAGAUGUAUGGACAUCAAGAACACAGUAGGGGUCACACAAGUCAGGCAUGUAGGUCUGCUGUAUCACUGUCAAGUCACUCACCACUUUUCAGGCUGAAUAGAUAACAAGCUAAAGUCAGACUGUCUUAGAGCAAUAUAUGUCAAGUCAGCUGUUAGACCUUGCAGCAUUAGGCUCGAGGAUGUAGUUUUCCAUAGUUCAGAUGAAGAAGACAUCAGCUGCUUAAAACUUCCAUCCUAGGUUAAACGUUUGUAUGUUGUUCUUAUCAAUAUUCCGGCUAUAUGAUCUCGACUUUUAAACAUCACUUGUGGAGAUCCAGGUUAGAAUGGGUCUUCACUAACCUAUGCUUGUUAGUGGGUGUCCAGACUCACUGACAUGCUCAACACGUCAUCCCAGUUGCAUAGAUCCAUGCUCAUGCUGUUGAUCACUGGAUUGUGUGGUCCAGACUCGAUCAAUUAUAGUAUCAGUAACUUGAGACAAAGAUGUCAACCAAUAGGGCUUCAACAGUUAUCCCUGACUCAGCUCUAGGAUCCCGCGAGCAGCCUUGUAGUAUCAGCCAUUGCUUACAUCUUCUUCCAAAGAUCAGAAGGUCGUCGUCAUCAGGGAGGAUGUCUUCCAAGACCACCUGCUGAGAAGUGGUCCAUGCUGUACGGGAACAGGGUGGACCCAGUCCAAACAUGCCAGGCCGGAGUAGACAAGCAAUUCCUCCACACCCUCCCUUCACCAUCAUCAGGACCAUGCAGUCCGGGAACAGGGUGGACCCGGUCCAAACAUGCCAGGCCGGAGUAGACAAGCAAUUCCUCCACACCCUCCCUUCACCAUCAUCAGGACCAUGCAGUCCGGCACCAUGACCGAGAGACUUCCGAGUCGGUUCCAGUAGUUUUCCCAUUAGCCAGUCGUCCUAUUCUACCGAGAAGGGAGAAGGUUGUGCAGACAGAUGAUAGGUCGAUAGAUUAACGACUGUUGUGCAUUACAACACCUGGUAGACACAGUCAGUUCAAGGACGGGGUAGUUUCGUAUGGUCAAGGUACAGAAGACGCAAUAGAUGCAUAGAAAUACUUAUUUAACACUACUGAAAGUGCAAGUGCAAAGGAGUUGUGUAUUUCUUAAUUUUUUUAUAUGUUUAUACAUGUUUGUAUAUGUUUAUAUUUGUUUCUAUACGUUCAUAAAAUGAAGCUGGUUUUCAUGAGGAUAUACUAAACUUGAAACCUUCACAUUGAAUGUGUCGAAGAUGAUGCAGACUGAUUUUGUGUGCUGGUGAUUUGGUGCCUGGCUCUGAGAGUGUGGGUUCGAAUCCCGAAUGGGACACAACCCAACAAAAGUACUAGAAUCGGUACAUUACUCAGAAAGUGUGAUCCCAAAUAUAACUUGUUACAUUUGACUACUUUCUAAAUGACAUUGUGUAUUCAUAAAUGUAACAGAGAUAAGGUUUUUGAAGGAAUUUUUAAGUAAAUAUCAUCUUUGUUUGUAAUUCGAGCAUGCAAUGUCUACAACAAUAGAAGUUUUGAGAAUAAUAUAUUCCUUAGAUGUGCUUGUGGUGGAUUUUUUUUAAGUUUAAAUUUAUUAGUCCCCCUCCUACCUAUCUAUCUAUUCUAGCCACAUCUAGUUGAUGUCGGUUAUUGAAAAGUACUGAUGUAACUCUCGUUCUGUGCAUGCAGUUUUCCUAACAACUGACUAAGGUGGCUGACAUUUAACAACCAUCUUAUCCAAAUCACAGAUGUAUUUGUGUCAUGUUAACUUAAGUGAAGGAAUAGUGGUUAUGAUGUAAGACAGUGUUGAUGGAGUCAGGCACAAUGGUUAUUGUUUAUUUAUUGUGGAACAAAAUGAAAGUUGUAAGAAUAUAGAAAGAUGAUCUGUUACAUUUCCCCCUGAUGACAAUGGGGAAAAUAAGAGUGUAAGGAUGAAAUGUAAUCAUGUCUGAAGGUAAACGCAGGGUAAUCAUACUCAUGAAUCAUCCAUGAUUAUCCACACUCACUCACUCACUCCUUGCCUUUCGGUGAUUGUGGUUCAGUUAAGAACUUUAGGGUCCGAAGUUAUCCAGACGAAGCCACAUUGGCCGUUAUGGAAUGGAGAUGUCAUAUCAUUAUACUCAAUACUUGGAUUUAUACAUAUUUGAUUUUCUGAUGUUCUGCUUUAUAAGUUACCUGCUGUCAUACUAAUGUAUAUAGCAUUCAUGUUCUUGUAAUAAAAAUACCCACUCAUA
Molecule: long non-coding RNA, 2268 nt
Organism: Haliotis rubra (blacklip abalone)
Lineage: Eukaryota; Metazoa; Mollusca; Gastropoda; Lepetellida; Haliotidae
Exons: 2
Source: RefSeq, a predicted model, not a curated record